Molecule: long non-coding RNA, 1294 nt
Filed under: Sus scrofa (pig)
Lineage: Eukaryota; Metazoa; Chordata; Mammalia; Artiodactyla; Suidae
Description: lncRNA (ENSSSCG00045025104.1)
Source: RNAcentral
AUUGGAGAAAUAGCUCCUCAGCUUUGAAAGAUCAAAGAGUUGGAAUCUUACCUUUUGAACUGAAUUUUUAUUCAUAACAACUGGAAUAUCACUAAGUUGGAUACUUUUUAUUCUUUCUAUUCCCUGCCCUAUCCCUCUCACUUUUAAAUGUCAGAGCCUGAAAAGUAUCCUUUUAAAAUUGUAUUAAAGUUUUUAAUUAAAAAAUAAAUAAAUUUCAAAGCCUAUACACAGGAAAUCCAUGGAAGAACAAUCCAUGACUUUAUCAACUCUUUCUGCUGUGCAAAAUAAUGGAAUUAGUUAAAUCCCCCAUAGCUUAAAAGAAGUAGAUAACCAAUUAUCCCAAGUCACUUAUUUCACCAUUCAACUUGAAAUUAACCUGCUGCUGUUUGCUGAACUUUCCCUCAUCUUUCCUCCAUAUUUAUAAUUGCAUCUCAAUCUUAUGUUACACAUUAAUUUCAAAGCAUUGUGUGGGUUUUUUUUUUUCAUUCUUCCUGUUAAUUGUUUUCCACUAUACAUUCUAGACCAAAAUUCUUGUCCAGAAUGCCAUUCGUGAUAUAAUUAUUCACAACUUUAGGCAGAGUUCACUUUGGCAGUAGAGGCAGGUGAGAUUCGAGAAGCUGAGCCUUCUUGGUAAUCCCAAACCAAGUAAUAAUUCUCCUAUUUCCAUUGUGAGUUUGUACCCUUCGCACAUCUUGCCUCCUUUCUGUCACCCACUCAGGAUGAGUCCAUUCAUUCAUUCAAACAGCUAUUAGCAAUGUCCUGAUCUGGACAAGCACUGCCUAGUGCUUGAGGCAGGGUACGUUGAUGAAUAUGACUGACCCAGUCCCUGCCAAAGAUGGAGCACCCAUUCUAGAAUGGGUAAUCUUUUGCUCUUUCUCAAGAAAGGAGGGGCUCAGCAUGAGUCAGUGUAGGCAGUCUUCAUUUUGUAUGGUACUGCAGGACUGUACAGAGGCCCAUGCAGGCCCCAAAUGUGCAAGUGACUCUGGGUUUGAUCCCUGGCCUGGGAACUUCCACAUGCCAUGGGCGUGGCCAAAAAAAUUUUUUGUCAAAAUUCUUACUAUCAGGAGUUUCCAUGGUGGCUCAGCGGUAACGCACCCAACUAGGAUCCAUGAGGACACAGGUUUGGUCCCUGGCCUCGCUCCGUGGGUUAAGGAUCCCACCUUGCCAUGAGCUGUGGUGUAGGUCACAGACGCGGCUUGGAUCCCACAUGGCUGUGACUGUGGCAUAGGCCAGCAGCUGUAGUUCUGAUUUGACCACUAGCCUGGGAACUUCCAUAUGCCAUGGGUGCGGCCCU